This is a long non-coding RNA of Acanthopagrus latus (yellowfin seabream), 2550 nucleotides long. RefSeq lists it as uncharacterized. The transcript has 3 exons. The record is from RefSeq and is a predicted model, not a curated record. Lineage: Eukaryota; Metazoa; Chordata; Actinopteri; Spariformes; Sparidae.
GCCCCAACCUAGAUGUUAACAUACAGAUGUCCUCGACAGAUGUUCUACUGCUGUUGCACUCUUUGUUGAGUGUACACAGCCAGCCAAAGGAGGGGGGGGGGGGCUUCCAAUAUACAUUUGUGAAGGCAAUAGGUGGCAUGAAAGACAAGGCUCUGUCUGAAGGCAGCACCUCAAAGAUACCCUCAACUAAGCAUGCAGUUUGUGUGGCACAACUCAUUGGGCUGUUGUGAAAGCAUGCAGCAAUGCCAUCUUGAUGGAUAACAGCUUUAAAGGCCCCUGUCCGCUGGGUAUAAACUGGGAAUUUCUAGCGAGGGGCAGAGUAGUGUACCCCAGGAUGCAGCCGCCUCAGUCAACCUCAGCAGAGGGUGGUUAAAAAUAAACCCUCUCUAAACCCCACCUGACAAAAGGAGAUCACUGAGGCAUACACCCGAAUAGUAGAAUGUGACUGACAGGGAAGGGAGAACAGAACACAUUGGGCAGCUCUCACGGCCCGCCCACUCUCCUCACACACCGUCUGAAAAGCCCAGCCAUUUCUGGGACUUUAGCUUGGCAUUAGCAUUGAUACAACAGCAUGCCUUGAGACUGUUGCUCAGUCUAAGAGGCUGGCAGGCAGUUCCUCCUGUCUGACUCUCUGACAGCUAAAGAAUCAGAUGGCGGGGAUGCAAAAUGUUACGCAGCCUCUUUGGCCAUGCCCCAUGAGAAAACAUAGCUGCUCCCAAGGGUGGAUGAUCUUCGGUGGGUAAGGAGUAGAUGUGCCGCUUUGAGGCAUGACAGUCAAAGGCUGUCACUUCUCUGCCAGGCUGCAUUCUUUGAACUGACUUCACAGUAGCCAUCUUCCUGGCUCUGAGGGUCUGUAGGUCACUAGAUUUCUUCUGGGUACACAGAAAGACUUCACGAUCUGACGUCUGGAAAUCAAACCCUGCCAGACCUGAGAUACUCCACUAGUAGUUUGUGAUGUGACAGUCGCUGCAUCUGUCAUUUCAGCCAUCAAAGACCUCUCCUGUCGUUCGAUACAUGGCAAAAACUGUGAUCGCUGACCGUCACAACUAAGAUACUGUUGGACGCUGUUCCUCGUUCUUGUCCCUCCUUCUUGCAGAAGUUAGUUUUUAAAUACCAGGACAUAAGUGAGAGGUCAGGGGUACGUGACAGAUGCCAAGACACAGCACGCCUGUCUUCCUGUUCGUUUGCUUAAAGUCUGCAAAACUGGAGUUGGGGGGCUAUGCUUGGCAUGUAGUCUGAGAAGUCGGGAGAACAACUCCUACACAAGGCUCUAUGUUCUUACCAAAUAUGGAGCCCCGUCAUGUAAAAACACUAGAAAUAGUCAAACCAGUGCUGGCACCUCAUUGAAACGAGGGCUUGGUGGUGGACACAAGAUCCUGGCAGAAGAAUACUCAGGAGUAUCUUGAUAGAUACUGAAUCUCUGUGUUGUUGCAUCUGUUGUACAGCUUGUGUGAAGUGGAUGCCUGGUAAGAUAGACCUUUCUGUAACCUACUGUUGGAUUUAGACCUUUUUUUUCUUUGGUGCCAUCUUAAGUUGACUAAUACAACUACUUUCCCAGCACAUUGUAAAUGUCAUCCUAAGGGACGCGCUGCAUUGUUUUAUUCAACAUGAAUUUGACAUUUUUCUUGACAGGACAUUUGUCGUUUUGUGGGAGAAUUGUGUGUUAUUACUUACGCUUGAGCUCCUUAAAAGUGAAUCAUUUAUUAUUUUUUACUUGACAAAUAGAACAAAUGUGUGGAAAUGGACAUGCACUUGAAAGGAGCGGCUGCGUAAAUUCUAAAAAAAAUAAUGGAAUUUUAUUAAGUGUGGUUGUGUUCUCACUACUUUUGUUCCACUCGCAGCCACUCUGAAACCACGUCAGUCAGCCAGCACGCACGGAACAGAUCAAUGCGUAAAUGGAGAGCACGCACAGCUUUAAAGUUUAGUGUCCAGGCCAUGACCCAAAUAAAAUGUUUCUUCUCCAAUAGGCGGCAUAUAAACUUACUAGACAAGUGCGACGGGCAAGAGAGUCCUGUCUGUGACGAGGCAUCAACGUCAUGCGAGAAGAGACGGCAUGGACAGAGAGAGAUAAAUAAAAGGGCCUAUAGCCUGAUGCUGAUGGUGGUUUCUAGGCCACUGCCACACCUAGCGAGGUGAUAGCAGGCGCAUUUAGAUCACAGGUUGCAGGCUGCAGCGCUGUCCACUUGAAUCCACGCCGCUCUCGUCUCCCUCUUCAACUUAACGCUGAUGAUGAGCAGCUCGCCUCAUCCCUUUGAUCUGGAGGGCUUCAGCAGCAGGGUGCCCCAGAUUCACAGACCACCUCCCUCCUCCCAACCAGUGCAGAGGCUGCUGCCCCUCCACUGUGGAGCACGACUGACACCUUCUGGCCUGAAGUGGUAGUGCAACAGGAGGAGUGCAAAGCAGACCUACUUGGUGGUUUGAAAUAUCAAUCAGAGGUUGCGGUGGUUCUGCACGAGGUGUCUGCAGAGGCCCAAGGCCAGGCAGAUGGAGUGUGUGUGAGGCGAGGGCAAGAAAAUGGUACAUCAGCGCAGAUCCUGAAUCGAUACCGGC